AUGUUAUGCCAGAUCCUUGGUCAGGCCAAGAAGCAUCCAAGCUUGAUCCCUGUCUUAGUAUUUAUUGGGGCAGGAGGUAGUGGAUCAGUGUUGUAUGUCUUGUGCCUGGCAUUGUUCAUUCAAGAUGUCAGUUGGGAUAGGAAGAGUAACCCAGAACCCUGGAAUGAACUGGGUUCAAAUGAUCAAUGCAAGUUCUACUCAGUGAAUGUAGAUUACAGCAAACUGAAGAAAGAAGGUCCAGACUUCUAAAAGAAAUGUUUCAUUAUAAAGCUGCUUAGAAUGAAGGUCUUCCAGAAGCC
Non-coding RNA from Ailuropoda melanoleuca (giant panda), 299 nucleotides. NCBI's taxonomy places the organism in Eukaryota, Metazoa, Chordata, Mammalia, Carnivora, Ursidae. The record is from RefSeq and is a predicted model, not a curated record.